CACGUAGGCACCAAGCGUUGUCCGGAUUUAUUGGGCGUAAAGAGCUCGUAGGCGGUUCGGUAAGUCGGGUGUGAAAACUUUGGGCUUAACCCAAAGCGUGCAUCCGAUACUGCUGUGACUUGAGUUCGGUAGGGGAGUGGGGAAUUCCUAGUGUAGCGGUGAAAUGCGCAGAUAUCAGGAGGAACACCGGUGGCGAAGGCGCCACUCUGGGCCGAAACUGACGCUGAGGAGCGAAAGCGUGGGUAGCAAACAGG
Molecule: ribosomal RNA, 254 nt
Filed under: uncultured bacterium
Lineage: Bacteria
Description: partial 16S ribosomal RNA
Rfam family: Bacterial small subunit ribosomal RNA
Source: RNAcentral